CACAAAUAAGAGCUGUCGACAGAAGCUAGCAAAUGUGACGUGGAUAUUCAUCACCUGCGUUUCAAAUGCAGCAGAAAAAGGAAUGAAGGCUUCUGUCGUGGCAUCUGGCCUUAUCGCCUCUUUGUUCUAGAUAUGCUAUCAAAUUCAAGAAUUCAGCCCAGUUAUUAAGGGGAUACUGGAUGUCAUACAGUAGUCAUGGAGAAGAAGGCAAAUGCAUCCCCUGGGCUGAGGGAGCCCUUUCGUAACCCAGUGGUCUUUGCUUAAUUGUGGCAAUGAGCAACAAAAUGUUGACAGUGAAAGGCUAUCUUGAAG
Molecule: long non-coding RNA, 312 nt
Filed under: Salvator merianae (Argentine black and white tegu)
Lineage: Eukaryota; Metazoa; Chordata; Lepidosauria; Squamata; Teiidae
Description: lncRNA (ENSSMRG00000014745.1)
Source: RNAcentral